ACGAUACCAACUAGCGUUCCGCCAGUGGCAAGCACGCCUUGGUUGGCAGCUUCCCGGAAACGAAAGUUUUUCGGUUCUGGGGGAAGUAUAGUUGCAAAGCUGAAACUUAAAGAAAUUGACGGAAGGGCACCACCAGGAGUGGAGCCUGCGGCUUAAUUUGACUCAACACGGGAAAACUUACCCGGCCCGGACACUGUAAGGAUUGACAGAUUGAUAGCUCUUUCUUGAUUCAGUGCUUGGAGGUGCAUGGCCGUUCUUAGUUGGUCGAUUGAUUUGUCUGGUUUAUUCCGAUAACGAGCGAGACUCUAGCUUACUAAAUAGUUCAUGGAUUAUCGUUGUCAAAAACAAACAUGCAUGCCUAUAAAACAUGUAUGUUCGUCCAUGUUAUACUUCUUAGGAGGACAACCGGUGUUUAGCCGCAUGAAGUUGAGCAAUAACAGGUCUGUGAUGCCCUUAGAUGUCCGGGCUGCACGCGCGCUACAAUGCAAGAGGCAGCGUGCUGUAACCAUUUUCGUUUGGGAUUGGUAACCCCUUCAAAAUCUUGCAUAACUGGGACAGGAAAUUGCAAUUAUUUGCCUUGAACGAGGAAUUCCUAGUAAAUGUGAGUCAUCAGCUUACGUUGAUUACGUCCCUGCCCUUUGUACACACCGCCCGUCGCUAGUACCGAUUGAAUGGCUUAGUGAGGCCUCAGGAUGCGCUUAGCCUGGGGGGCGACUCCCGGGCAGAGCUCAGAAUUUGGUCAAACUUGGUCAUUUAGAGGAACUAAAAGUCGUAACAAGGUUUCCGUAGGUGAACCUGCGGAAGGAUCAUUACAGAGAUACAACGUUGAAGUUGAGGCGGGGGGGAGAGGCGCUUUGAAGGGGGCUGGCGCUGCGGAGCACUGUUCCUACGGGGACAUGUGCCUGCGGGGCUGUUCCUGCCUGUGCUUCCCUGCUCUUCGACACACACACUGUGGAGUGUUCUAUGACUCUUUUUGUUUCAGCCUGGGUCUCUUUCCCGGGCGCAGACACAAACAAGACAUGUGGAGGAUAAAGUACACAAGAUCUACAAACACAACUAUCAAAACUUUCAACAACGGAUCUCUUGGUUCUCGCAUCGAUGAAGAACGCAGCGAACUGCGAUACGUAAUGCGAAUUGCAGCUUCCGUGAAGCAUCGUUUCUUUGAACGCACAUUGCGCCCCCCGGUAUUCCAGGGGGCAUGCCUGUCUGAGCGUCGUUUCCUUUCUCAGCGUCUCUGCUGGUUGUGGGCGGCACCCGUCUGGCAACGGACGGGUCAGCGUGAAAGUGUGGAUGGGGGAGGGACUUCCUCCCGGUCACUGCGGCGACACACACACUUGGCGUGGGUGACACCAGGCCAGGCUGGGCGCUGUCGAAGUUAGGUUGUUGUUCUUGCAUCAGCACAUCUUUGGCGGUAAGCGCACGGUCUUUGCGCGUUGCCCUGCAGCACGAAGUUUGACCUCAGAUCAGGUAGGACUACCCGCUGAACUUAAGCAAAUCAAUAAGCGGAGGAAAAGAAACCAACCGGGAUUGCCUCAGUAACGGCGAGUGAAGCGGCAAGAGCUCAGAUUUGAAAUCUGCUACCUUUGGUAGCCGAGUUGUAGCGUGUAGAGUGCUGUCCCGGAUGUACGGCGCUGCCUAGGUUCCCUGGAAGGGGACGCCGGAGAGGGUGAGAGCCCCGUG
Molecule: ribosomal RNA, 1680 nt
Filed under: Passalurus ambiguus
Lineage: Eukaryota; Metazoa; Nematoda; Chromadorea; Rhabditida; Oxyuridae
Description: eukaryotic LSU rRNA
Rfam family: Eukaryotic small subunit ribosomal RNA (bases 1-812)
Source: RNAcentral